CGCCGAGGCCGAGCCGGUUCGCCCCGCGCCCCUGGUCCACCUCGAGCACUCCCGAGUCGCCGUGUGCAAGCAGAAGACCCAGGGAAACCCCGCAUCCACUCGUCGUUCUUCCAAGCUGCCGCACGCUCCAGCUAGGACGAAACGGAUCUCGCCCCGGGGCUUGGAGUUCUUCGUCGUUCACCGCCUUUUUCCGACACCUGCUCCAGAAUGACGUCGCCACCGAUGCUCGACGCCGCCAGAGCCCCUCGGUUCACGUUGUCACCAUUACCUAUAGAUGGAGUCCCCGCCGUCGUUUGAGCUACCACCACCUCCGCCGCUCAACACCGCACCUGCCCGUCACCUCAUCUUCACGGGAGCACCGCUGGAGAAGCGCCGCCACUAACGCCCGAGACCGCCAUCGUCGUCCUUUCGAUUGUCCAGAGUGCGACGCGAACUAUUGUCAGGAGUGUGAAUUUCUGAACCAGA
This is a long non-coding RNA of Triticum dicoccoides, 465 nucleotides long. RefSeq lists it as uncharacterized. The record is from RefSeq and is a predicted model, not a curated record. NCBI's taxonomy places the organism in Eukaryota, Viridiplantae, Streptophyta, Magnoliopsida, Poales, Poaceae. The transcript has 3 exons.